This 22-nucleotide non-coding RNA is filed under the name Arabidopsis thaliana (thale cress). The record is from RNAcentral. Lineage: Eukaryota; Viridiplantae; Streptophyta; Magnoliopsida; Brassicales; Brassicaceae.
UGGUAGUCGAAUGCUACAUGGU